This 596-nucleotide ribosomal RNA is filed under the name uncultured fungus. RNAcentral describes it as "eukaryotic LSU rRNA". It matches the Rfam family "Eukaryotic large subunit ribosomal RNA", at positions 40 to 647 of the family's 3401-position model. The record is from RNAcentral. Lineage: Eukaryota; Fungi.
AUAUCAAUAAGCGGAGGAAAAGAAACUAACAAGGAUUCCCCUAGUAACGGCGAGUGAAGCGGGAAGAGCUCAAAUUUAAAAUCUGGCGGUCUCAGGCUGUCCGAGUUGUAAUCUAGAGAGGUGUUUUCCGUACCGGACCGUGUAAAAGUCCCUUGGAACAGGGCGUCAUAGAGGGUGAGAAUCCCGUCCAUGACACGGACUACCAGUGCUCUGUGAUACACCUUCAAAGAGUCGAGUUGUUUGGGAAUGCAGCUCAAAAUGGGUGGUAAAUUCCAUCUAAAGCUAAAUACAGGCGAGAGACCGAUAGCGAACAAGUACCGUGAGGGAAAGAUGAAAAGAACUUUGGAAAGAGAGUUAAACAGUACGUGAAAUUGUUGAAAGGGAAACACUUGCUACCAGACACGCCUGUAGUUGAUCAGCCUCCAUUUUUGGUGGUGCACUUAGCUAUAGGUGGGUCAGCAUCAGUUAUGGCGGUGGGAUAAAGACCGUGGGAAUGUAGCUUCUUUCGGGAAGUGUUAUAGCCCGCGGUGUAAUACCAUCUAUUGUGACUGAGGCCCGCGCUUCGGCGAGGAUGCUGGCAUAAUGGUCGUAAGUGA